GAUGAACGCUGGCGGCGUGCCUAAUACAUGCAAGUCGAGCGAACGGACGAGAAGCUUGCUUCUCUGAUGUUAGCGGCGGACGGGUGAGUAACACGUGGAUAACCUACCUAUAAGACUGGGAUAACUUCGGGAAACCGGAGCUAAUACCGGAUAAUAUUUUGAACCGCAUGGUUCAAAAGUGAAAGACGGUCUUGCUGUCACUUAUAGAUGGAUCCGCGCUGCAUUAGCUAGUUGGUAAGGUAACGGCUUACCAAGGCAACGAUGCAUAGCCGACCUGAGAGGGUGAUCGGCCACACUGGAACUGAGACACGGUCCAGACUCCUACGGGAGGCAGCAGUAGGGAAUCUUCCGCAAUGGGCGAAAGCCUGACGGAGCAACGCCGCGUGAGUGAUGAAGGUCUUCGGAUCGUAAAACUCUGUUAUUAGGGAAGAACAUAUGUGUAAGUAACUGUGCACAUCUUGACGGUACCUAAUCAGAAAGCCACGGCUAACUACGUGCCAGCAGCCGCGGUAAUACGUAGGUGGCAAGCGUUAUCCGGAAUUAUUGGGCGUAAAGCGCGCGUAGGCGGUUUUUUAAGUCUGAUGUGAAAGCCCACGGCUCAACCGUGGAGGGUCAUUGGAAACUGGAAAACUUGAGUGCAGAAGAGGAAAGUGGAAUUCCAUGUGUAGCGGUGAAAUGCGCAGAGAUAUGGAGGAACACCAGUGGCGAAGGCGACUUUUUGGUCUGUAACUGACGCUGAUGUGCGAAAGCGUGGGGAUCAAACAGGAUUAGAUACCCUGGUAGUCCACGCCGUAAACGAUGAGUGCUAAGUGUUAGGGGGUUUCCGCCCCUUAGUGCUGCAGCUAACGCAUUAAGCACUCCGCCUGGGGAGUACGACCGCAAGGUUGAAACUCAAAGGAAUUGACGGGGACCCGCACAAGCGGUGGAGCAUGUGGUUUAAUUCGAAGCAACGCGAAGAACCUUACCAAAUCUUGACAUCCUUUGACAACUCUAGAGAUAGAGCCUUCCCCUUCGGGGGACAAAGUGACAGGUGGUGCAUGGUUGUCGUCAGCUCGUGUCGUGAGAUGUUGGGUUAAGUCCCGCAACGAGCGCAACCCUUAAGCUUAGUUGCCAUCAUUAAGUUGGGCACUCUAAGUUGACUGCCGGUGACAAACCGGAGGAAGGUGGGGAUGACGUCAAAUCAUCAUGCCCCUUAUGAUUUGGGCUACACACGUGCUACAAUGGACAAUACAAAGGGCAGCGAAACCGCGAGGUCAAGCAAAUCCCAUAAAGUUGUUCUCAGUUCGGAUUGUAGUCUGCAACUCGACUACAUGAAGCUGGAAUCGCUAGUAAUCGUAGAUCAGCAUGCUACGGUGAAUACGUUCCCGGGUCU
This 1372-nucleotide ribosomal RNA is filed under the name uncultured bacterium. RNAcentral's name for it is "bacterial SSU rRNA". It matches the Rfam family "Bacterial small subunit ribosomal RNA", at positions 28 to 1381 of the family's 1533-position model. The record is from RNAcentral.